Molecule: small RNA, 61 nt
Filed under: unclassified sequences
Description: Streptococcus sRNA SpF59 (ldcC RNA)
Rfam family: Streptococcus sRNA SpF59 (ldcC RNA)
Source: Rfam by way of RNAcentral
UGACCGCCCUUUCCCUCCGGAAAGGCGCUAAGGCCAUACGGACAGCCGGGUCAAAUGCCGA